This 253-nucleotide ribosomal RNA is filed under the name uncultured bacterium. RNAcentral describes it as "partial 16S ribosomal RNA". It matches the Rfam family "Bacterial small subunit ribosomal RNA", at positions 524 to 776 of the family's 1533-position model. The record is from RNAcentral.
UACAGAGGCUACAAGCGUUGUUCGGAAUUACUGGGCGUAAAGGGCGCGUAGGCGGUUUUCCAAGUCAGAUGUGAAAGCCUGGGGCUUAACCCCAGAAGUGCAUUUGAAACUGGAGGGCUAGAGUGCAGUAGAGGAUGGCGGAAUUCCCAGUGGAGAGGUGAAAUUCGUAGAUAUUGGGAGGAACACCGGUGGCGAAGGCGGCCAUCUGGGCUGUAACUGACGCUGAGGCGCGAGAGCGUGGGUAGCAAACAGG